Non-coding RNA from Henosepilachna vigintioctopunctata, 73 nucleotides. Lineage: Eukaryota; Metazoa; Arthropoda; Insecta; Coleoptera; Coccinellidae. The record is from the annotation of a GenBank genome assembly.
GUCUACGUGGUUAAGUCGGGAGAACAUCCGCCUAUGGUGCUGUAGAACUCGGGUUCGAGCCCCUGUGAAGGCA